RNAcentral lists this ribosomal RNA (460 nucleotides) under uncultured bacterium. RNAcentral's name for it is "partial 16S ribosomal RNA". It matches the Rfam family "Bacterial small subunit ribosomal RNA", at positions 338 to 795 of the family's 1533-position model. The record is from RNAcentral.
CCUACGGGUGGCAGCAGUGAGGAAUAUUGGUCAAUGGACGAGAGUCUGAACCAGCCAAGUAGCGUGAAGGAUGACUGCCCUAUGGGUUGUAAACUUCUUUUAUAUGGGAAUAAAACAGGGUAUGCAUACACUCUUGUAUGUAGCAUAUGAAUAAGGAUCGGCUAACUCCGUGCCAGCAGCCGCGGUAAUACGGAGGAUCCGAGCGUUAUCCGGAUUGAUUGGGUUUAAAGGGAGCGUAGGUGGAUUGGUAAGUCAGUUGUGAAAGUUUGCGGCUCAACCGUAAAAUUGCAGUUGAAACUGGCAGACUUGAGUACAGUAGAGGUGGGCGGAAUUCGUGGUGUAGCGGUGAAAUGCGUAGAUAUCACGAAGAACUCCGAUUGCGAAGGCAGCUCACUGGACUGCAACUGACACUGAUGCACGAAAGUGUGGGUAUCAAACAGGAUUAGAUACCCCAGUAGUC